Long non-coding RNA from Tribolium madens (black flour beetle), 305 nucleotides. RefSeq lists it as uncharacterized. The record is from RefSeq and is a predicted model, not a curated record. The transcript is spliced from 2 exons. Lineage: Eukaryota; Metazoa; Arthropoda; Insecta; Coleoptera; Tenebrionidae.
CAGCUGUCACAUUUUUUGAUCGUAAUUUUUCCAAUUUUUAAGUGUGUUUUGCACUGUUUUUACAUAAAACGCUAUGGUUUAUUCCUAUGUAGUGUGCAAAAUCCCCUAAAUCUUCGAUUUCUUUCCACAAAUAAGUAAACUCACAAUUUGUAAACAAUACAUAGGCGUAGAAUGAGGUUUAUAAGGGGUAAAUUUUUGCCAUGAAUUAUAGGUUACCCUCAGGUGAAACUUUGAGACGGAAGUUGAUCAAUGCUUUGGGAUUAGGAGAUUUCGUUUUGACCAAAUAUACAUAUCUUUGCUCAAAA